This is a long non-coding RNA of Hylaeus anthracinus, 1250 nucleotides long. RefSeq lists it as uncharacterized. The record is from RefSeq and is a predicted model, not a curated record. Lineage: Eukaryota; Metazoa; Arthropoda; Insecta; Hymenoptera; Colletidae. The transcript is spliced from 2 exons.
UAUGGUCUUGGCUUAUUACCCCGUUCCAAAGAUUUUCAAAUUGAAAACGCGUAAUUCCGUCCUAACGCAGAUUUCCGUUACAGUAUAAAAUCGUAUUUAAAUGUUCUUUUCUGAAUCGACUUUGUAGUGGACCGUUUUUUCAACCGAUUAUCGAUUUCGAUACGGAUCGAUUUUUGGAGUCCAAAACUCAAUCUCCAUUGACACAGGUUGCUGUGAAUCGUUGAUUUUGUUCUUUUUUUUUUCAUUUCUUUCUGAAUUUCACGUGGAAUUCUUUUCUUUGUUAUAUGAACGUGACAAAUAAAUGGAACUCGAAUUCAUAUCUUCAAAAGCAGGCGAUAUUUACUAUCUUGAAAUCGACUUCCGUUAAGUAAAUGGCUUGUCAAUAGUUAUUACUAGACUUGUAUGCAAUUAUGAUAAACGCAUUCUAAUUGUAACUAAAACGUAUGUCCACUUAUUCAAAAUAAAUUUGUAUAUUAUUCUACGUUAUAAAUGCAUAAAAUCCGCAGUGUUACGUGUAUGUGAUGUAUUAGGCGAAGAAAUGAAUUCCGUGACUUUAUAUUGAAUUAAUUAUAAUUCAAAUUCAAUUAGAAAUAUUUGCUCGUCAUUCUCCAAUGAUUACUUUAAUCUAUCAAGAUUCGAAUAAGUAUUUCUGUUUAAACUAGAAUUAUAAAUCAUUGAUUACGAAGAAAUAAAAUUAAUUUCUACACCUAAUAUAGUUAGCAUCUAAAGAAACGAUUUUUUCAAGAAUCGAACAUUUUUGUAUCUUGCAAGAUGGAUAUUGCAUGUCAGUUGAUGUCGUUUUUCCUUUAUUCUAACACAGGAAUACUUUCGCUUUUCUAUUUGCGGUUCUCCGCAAAGAAGUCAUCGAUCCCUCCGCCGGAUAUUGAAUUCAUGGUCAAAUAGUGCGCAGUCGGUGAUCAGCGCUGUUAUCGAUGAAUGGACAGAUUAUGCAACCGUUUCAUUACCUAGCGCGUAGGCGCGUACGCGCCUCGACUAGUUUCAAAUAUUUGAAACAGCUCUAUCGUACAGGUUGAUUCGGAUUCCCCUCAUUUACCAACAACGCGUGAAACAUUGUGGACCGUUGUAACUAAAAAUAGAGAAAGAUAUACAUGGAGAAAUUGUUACAUUAAAUAGUUUGCUGCUACUCGUCGUAAUCCAAAACGCGCAUCUUCUUGUGAUGAAUUGGUUGAAAAUCGCUUUCGUCGCUUGAAGGUAGGAUUUAAAAAAAAAAUAAAAAUAAAAAUCAUAAA